CCCAACUCUCAUACACUGGCCUUCCAUAGCACCAAUCAUACUGCCUCUCUCGCCCGUAGCCAAGCUGGUAACACGGUCCCCCACCACGCCCCUCAGAACAUUCCGUGCAACAUGCCCUAACAGGUGAGUAACACGGUCCACCACCACGCCCCUCGGAACAUUCCCUGCAACAUGCCCUAACAGGUGAGUAACACGGUCCCCCACCACGCCCCUCGGAACAUUCCCUGCAACAUGUCCUAAUUGGUGAGUAACACGGUCCCCCACCACGCCCCUCGGAACAUUCCCUGCAACAUGUCCUAACGGGUAGGUAACACGGAACGGGCUCCGGAGCCGGUGCCGGUGCCGGAGGCGGCGGUGGGGCUGGUGAUGGUUUUGGUUGGGGAGCCGGUGCCGGGGGUGGUGGCGAUGGUGAAGGUUUCGGUGGUGGUGGUGACGGUUUUGGUUCCGGAGCCGGUGCCGGCGGUGGUUUUGGUUUUGGCGGCGGCGGCGGCUUUGGCUUUGGUGGUUCCAGGAUUUCAAUAGUCUUGAUUGAACCAUCACCUUUGCAGCAUAGCUUGUCCCUGAUCUUUUCAGGACUGCAGCACACUACUUUUAUUGUCACCGUAUUCGUCUUCUCAUCGAAAAACUGUUCUUGUAUUUCUUUGGUCAAAAAGUUCAAACACAAUAUCUUAGCCCACCAUCCGCCAGCCAUUUUUUUAUUUGCAAACACAAAAUAAACAAUUCUACUUGCGCCUCACCAAAUGACACGCGAAUUCAGAAUUUUAUGCCAUUAUAAAACAUUUUACGAAACCAUAAUAUAUAAUAUAUGUAAAUGGACAUGGCCAGCGAUCAGAGAGACACUUACGUGGGAAUUUGCACAGUACUUUCUUGACUUUCUUGUAGCACUUUGAGCACUGAAGGUUAACCUUCAGCACCAUUAUUGUAACCUUCUGUAAACAAUAGUACACAGAUAAUACAAAAGUAUUUUUCAGCAGGCUAAUUAAUUAAAGAUAAAAGAGAGACAUUUAAUUAAUUUCUGACAUGAAAGAAUCAGCAAGGUAACUAUAUAUCUCCGUGUAUAUAUACACUAUAAGCUAUCAUCACGAAAGAUCGAUCGAUGCACAGCACAAACUUAACCAAAAGGGGAAUUACGAACCUUCUCUCCCAUAGCUGCUCGGAUCUGAACCUCAGGAAACCGGACACUGAUUAUUUGAAGCGUUAAUGUGACAGCAGGUAUGGAAAAGGGUCUUAUAAAUAAGUGCGCCAAUUUGAAACUUGUUUAAGAAGGGAAGGAAAAGUAAGGGCUUGAAUUCCGUACAUUAUACAUAACCAAUUAUCUGCCGACACGUCUUAUUGGAUGACGUCGAAUUUCAUGAUAUCAUCAAGGUUGUCGUUAUCUCCGUACAUAGUAAGUCUUUCUUCACAUUUAUGUAUGAUUGCUGACUCACCCAUUCUCCAUUGCAUUUGCAUGUGCUGCCUUUUGAUUGAUUGCCCUUUUCUCUGUUUUUCUUUUUUUUUUUUUGCUUUGCUUUUUUUUUUUCUUUUAUGUCUAAAGGAAAAUUUUUUGUCUUUCUCAUUUGAGCAAUAGUCAUAUUUCUUUACCUAAUUGAAAAUUAAAAAUAAAAAUAAAUAAGGGAAAAUGGACUUUAAUUGAACAACUGAUGUGAGAUCUAGGUAUAGAAAUUUACAUUCACCAACUCUUCCUAACCGUCAAAUUUGAUGCAUUUUUCGAACCCAGCACCUUGUGCCAUGGAUCGAGCAUUCAUUCUACAAACAGAGUAAUUGAUGAAAUAAUUUAAUCGAGCUAUUGGAAGUUUCACCAACCUAAAGUAAUCAUUGUCCUUAACCCAUAAACAAAGGGCCCAAUGAUCAAUUAAUAUAAGCUUUUGGAAGUUCAACCAAUCCCCGUAAGUAUACCUCCAACACUAAGGUAGCUAUUAUGGGCUUGUGGGACCCGCAUACUUAAUGCCUAAGUUAAGUGUCACAUCACUAAUUUAAUUUUAGAUUGGCCACACUCCAAGUAAUUAAAAAAGAUAAUGUUAUUAGUUUACCAGAAGCAGUUGUGACGCCUUGGCACCCACCUCCGCUUGGCCAUUUUAAAUUAAAUGUUGAUGCAGUCAUGGGGGAUGGUGGUGUGGGGGCCGUCGAUGGGUUAUCGGUUGCAAUUGAGGCAGGACUGACAUUGUUCAGAGAUUAUUUAAUUUUUAGCUUCGUGGUUUAUGUUGUCCAACGCUAUCUCACCAUUGUUAUUUAAGAUUAUUUUCUGAAACAUUAUCUCACCCAUAUUAUUGUUCAAAAAGAAAUUAAAGUAAAAAGCAGAUGGCCAAUUUAUCUCUUGUAUCAAUUCUUCUAUUCCUCUUCUUCAUUUAUGGUAAAAAUAACCAUUUUUCUUAAGUGUUUUAUGUAGCAUUUUUGUACUUAAUUUAUGCAAUGCUAUAAAAGAUCAAAUUUGAAUUUUAAAGAAUUAUUAUUAUUAUUAUUAUUAUUAUUAUUAUUAUUAUUAUUAUUUAUCAGGAACUGGGAAGAUAAUUGCCGAGACUCAGGAGAUAGAGCUCUGCAAGACAGCUAUUAUGUCCCAAAAAGAAUUUUGCUUUUGAAGCAUCACUUUCCCAAAAAGAAAUUCCAAAAAUUAUGUCUAAUUAAAAUCUUUUAGAAUCUCCCCAAGGUUUGAUUGCAUGGUUUUUAAACAGUUAUAAGCAGUUUUCAAGAAAUUGUUUUUUAUUAGUACUGAUUUGAACCUUAAGGAAGUUUGAGUUAAAAAAAUUGAUUUGGACUUAAUGGACUCCCUUAUCUUUAAAAGAAAAUGUAUCCUGCAGAAUUCGAAAGAAAUAAUUAAAAAAAAAUAAAACAAUGGAAUAAUUCAGAAAGAGAAAAUAAGAAGCACAUGUAAAAAGUAUUUUUCUAAUGAAUUUAUUUCAAUUUUUUGAUUUUAUAAAUAAAAACUCAAGGGUGAAAAAUUUUAAUGAGUAACGGUCGUUAAUGAAAAAUUUUAAUGAGUAAGGGUUGUUAUAUAUUUAACGAUGAAAUUAAAAGAAAAUAGUGUAAAUGAAAAAAAAAAAUAACAGAAGCGAUGAGAGUGAUUCUGAGAAGAGUUAGAGAUUAUUGUGGGUUGUCUAUGGUAUAGAGUAGGAAGAUUAAGUUAAAUAAAUUAGUUUGAUUUAUCUAAAUAAAUUAUUUCAUUAUAAAAUAGAAUUUACUCAUUGGUAAAGUACUGUAUAGAUGUUUUGGUUUUAUAUAAAUUUAUUAGAAGAGAUGAAUAUAAGGAGUAUUUUUAUCGAAUUCAAAAAGCUCAUAACUUUUCACUUGUAAUCAAUUUUUCUACCAUAAAUUUUUGUAUGAUUUUGGUCCCUAUGGGUAGAAGAAUUUAAAGGGGGCCAAAAUCAUAGAGGUAAACGUUUAGGGGUCAAAGUCUAAAAAGAGUAAAUUAUUUUGGUAAAAUGUCAAGAUAAAUUAAAGUUUCAGAGCCACCUCCCGCCUUUUUUUCAUUUAGCAAAAUAAUACUUUCAUGUAUUAUGCCGAGGUAGAUGUGAUGGACCUUUUUAAUAUUUAAAUUUUAUGAUAAAUAAUGAUGUGUCAUUUAUAAGAGAAAUUUUAUAAUAUAUUAGAGGUAGUACAUCAACUAAUACAUGUAUGACAUGUAUAUAUAGACUUGAUAUAACCUUUAUUUGCAUAAUAAUUUUUUAAAAUAAAUGUACAUAUAUUAUAAUAUAACUUGUUUAUUGUAUACCUGAUAUGAUACAUCUGAUUUAUUUUAGAAUUUUUCAUGUGAUUAAAAUUUUUUAUAAAGUUCUAAAUAAAUUAUUUUAUACCUGACAUUACUAUUGAAGAAUAUAUUGACAGAUAUUGUGGAAUAUUUAUAUGUAACUUAUUAGAAUUUAUACAAAAAUUGCAUAUAAAAUUACGAGAGCUUCUGUUCACUUUAAAUUAAUCAAUCUAACAAGAAUUUAAUUAAGGCUUCAUGCAUAUAACAAAGGCGAAGUGUAAGUUGUAAAAAGGCCAAAAAAAAAAUGUAUUGACAAUUUUCCAUUCUAGAUUCUAAAUUUCAAUAAACAUCUAAUUUAUCAACAAGCAUGUUCGUUCUUUUUAUGAUUGAAUGUUGAAAUAAACAGUGUAAGAUCCAUCUCUUAUGCUUGGUAAUGGCACCAAAAGAAAACUCCUCUUUGCUCCCUUUGCAACAAAGCGGAUAGGAUGAUAAUUCUUUUUCCAUUGCGAAGCAAACUACACUGUUAUAUCCAAACUCUGUUGACACUGAAUUGCAACUGACCUUCAUGCUUUCGCCCGAUUUCAAGUUAACACUAGUAGAAACGAAGCAACCCUUUUGGGUUACUGACUCCAAGGCUACUGUUUCAGCCUUUCCAUCCCAUCCGGUAACAAGGCGAAAAAUGGAGGAGCCAUGAACACUAGAAGAGUCUGCGACAACAAGUUCAUCAUCUGUUCCUUGCACUACAAGCAUUCCUGGGGAAGCAAAUAGUUCUAGCAUGACUGAUCUGCCAAUUGCAUCGCUGAGGGAUGAAAAUUCGGAGGAAGGUUUAUCGUUUAAGAUGAAUCUUAAAGUGGCUUGAAGGGCAAUGUCAGUGCCAGAUUUAGGGGAUUCUGCCAUUGGAAUAGAUUGUCAAGACAAAAGUCGAGUUUCUGGAAACUUUGGAAAAUGUGACCAGCUGAAAUUAUAUGAUGCAGGAAUUGGAGCAACAACUUCUGAAAGAGAUGUUGCUGAUUCAGUCCUGAUAUCGGAGUCCCCAUUGCUGUAGCUCGUAGGCAGAUAAGACCGUGGUGAAUGGCCGAUCAGCUGAAGAAGAAAAAAGAUUUUCAGUCAAAGAUUUUUCAUUGAUAACAGAAAUUGUAAACAAAACAGUUCAUGAAGAUUCCAUCGAUAGGCUCUGUCCUUAGAAUAAGGGGCAGCUGAAUGGUUAAUUUGUCAUCAUAUGUCCAUGCUGUGGUGAUACUUGGAAAUUUCGUGCAUCGGGAAUGUAACUGUUUGUUACAUGUCUUUAUAAAAGAUGAAACCCCACUUUUAAUUUUUCUAUCUGAAAUAAAAAAUUGAAAAACAAUCAAAGAUAUUAUAAUUCAGCACCUGCCGAUGGUAGAGGCAAAUCCUGGCCAUUUAAUGUUGCCUUUGCUCCAUUAGUAUUUGUCCACCUCGAUAUUCUGAAACCAAAGGAUAGUGAUCGAGCUGCUCCCUGGAUAUACAUCAAAUCCAGAAUGUGUGAUGGAUGAACUUCUCAUUACAAUGUUAAAAAAUAAACACCAAGUUUGAUAGCCAGUACCUUAGGAAGAAAUGUGAAUGUGAUAUGACGAUAAGGAUCUGAAGAAACAACAGGAUCAACUUUCUGGUUGGGCAGAAUAUGUCCAGAUUUCCAAUCAAGUGAGCUCGAUAUGUACCGAAUGAUGUAAAGACCAGGAUAUAAUCCUUCCUCUUCAAAGUAAAUUGAAUAUCCCAACUUUGCGAAUGACUUAAUUCCUCCAUGGGAAACAAGAAUAAAAUCUAGUAUACCAAUUGGCGGAAACUGUGCAAAUUUAGAAAGCAACUCAUGAGAUUCAAGAACAUUGAGAGUAAAGAGAAAAAAUGGGCAAUGAAUACCAGACAUGUGCCAUAACAGCACCAGAAUGAAUUUAAUUAAUGCGUAAACAAAUUUUAUUCAACUUUAUUUCUAAUCCAGUCAUUAACAUUCUUAUAGCAAUUUAACUCUAAGAUUUACCUAACACAUACGACUACUUUUAAAACUCACGACACUUUUUAAAAUAAAUUUUACUAAAUGUUUAAUUGAUUCUCUUUACAGUUGAAUAUAUUUAUAAUACAGCUAACAAUAAUUAUUUUAAAAAAUACAUCAUUACCAAAUAGGCCGCCAAUAAUUGGAAAACUAAUUGUAGCAUUAACAAACUCUACAUUCACCAACCUUUAUUUAUCUUUGAUUUUCCUAUAGAGUCUAUAUUACCCAAAAUGUUAAAGAUUAAACCAGCAUACAAGAAGCAACUAGAAGAAAGUAAACGAUAUGAUCACUGACGAUUACCAUUCAUGAUCAUUGAUUUAUGAGAUUGUGCAAGACAGUGGUGGAUUUCCUUCACAGGUGGAAUCUAACGACCACGGGUGCAAAUGAACAGCGACCACAAGUGCAAUAUGAACAGCGACCACAAGUGCAAUCUGACCAGCGACCUCUCCAAUAAACUCUAUUAUGGCAGCUACCACCCCAGCUCUCAUACACUAGUCUUGCAUAGAUCACAAUGCCUCUCUUGCCCCAAGCCAAGCUGGUGACACGGUCCCCAACCAUGACCCUCAGAACAUUGCUUGCAACAUACCCUAACCGAUGUGUAACACGGCACUGGCACCAGGGGUGGUAGUGGUGGUUUUGGGUUUUCCCCAUCCGGUUGUGGCGGGUUUUUUUUUAUCCCCAUCCGGUUGUGGUGGUUUUUUGUUAUCCCCAUUCGGUUGUGGCGGGUUUUUUUUAUCCCCAUCCGGUUGUGGCGGUUUUUUGUUAUCCCCAUCCAGUUGUGGUGGUCUAGGGUUAGGCUUUUUAUCAGGUUCCAGGAUUUCAAUAGUCUUGAUUGAACCAUCACCUUUGCAGCAUAGCUUGUCCCUGGUCUUUCAGGACUGCAGCACACUACUUUUAUUGUCACCGUAUUUGUCUUCUCAUCGAAAAACUUUUCUUGUAUUUCUUUGGUCAAAAAGUUCAAACACAAUAUCUUAGCCCACCAUCCGUCAGCCAUUUUUAUUAUUUACAGACACAAAAUAAACAAUUCUACUUGCGCCUCACCAAAUAACACGCGAAUUCAGAAUUUUAUGUCAUUAUAAAACAUUUUACGAAACCAUAAUAUAUAAUAUAUGUAAAUGGACAUGGCCAGCGAUCAGAGAGACACUUACGUGGGAAUUUGCACAGUACUUUCUUGACUUUCUUGUAGCACUUUGAGCACUGAAGGUUAACCUUCAGCACCAUUAUUGUAACCUUCUGUAAGCAAUAGUACACAGAUAAUACAGAAGUAUUUUUCAGCAGGCUAAUUAAUUAAACAUAAAAAGGGGGACAUUUAAUUAAUUUCUGACAUGAAAGAAUCAGCAAGGUGACUAUAUAUCUGUGUGUGUAUAUACACUAUAAGCUAUCAUCACGAAAGAUCGAUCGAUGCACAGCACAAACUUAACCAAAAGGGGAAUUACAA
Molecule: long non-coding RNA, 7125 nt
Filed under: Citrus maxima (pomelo)
Lineage: Eukaryota; Viridiplantae; Streptophyta; Magnoliopsida; Sapindales; Rutaceae
Description: long non-coding RNA (CMAX_LNC000494)
Source: RNAcentral